CCUACGGGAGGCAGCAGUAGGGAAUAUUGGGCAAUGGGCGAGAGCCUGACCCAGCCAUGCCGCGUGCCGGAUGAAGGCCUUCUGGGUUGUAAACGGCUUUUCUCAGGGAAGAAAAAGCCCAUGCGUGGGACACUGACGGUACCUGAGGAAUAAGCACCGGCUAACUCCGUGCCAGCAGCCGCGGUAAUACGGAGGGUGCAAGCGUUGUCCGGAUUUAUUGGGUUUAAAGGGUGCGUAGGCGGCCCGUUAAGUCCGGGGUGAAAGCCCACAGCUCAACUGUGGAACUGCCCUGGAUACUGGCGGGCUUGAGUCCAGACGAGGUUGGCGGAAUGGAUGGUGUAGCGGUGAAAUGCAUAGAUACCAUCCAGAACCCCGAUUGCGUAGGCAGCUGACUAGGCUGGUACUGACGCUGAGGCACGAAAGCGUGGGGAGCGAACAGGAUUAGAUACCUCGUAGUCACGCCGUAACCGAACUGAGUACUCGCUGUGGG
This 490-nucleotide ribosomal RNA is filed under the name uncultured bacterium. RNAcentral describes it as "bacterial SSU rRNA". It matches the Rfam family "Bacterial small subunit ribosomal RNA", at positions 338 to 826 of the family's 1533-position model. The record is from RNAcentral.